ACGGCCAUACCAUGCUGAAUACACCGGUUCCCGUCUGAUCUCAGAAAUUAAGUAUCAUAGGUCGCGGUCAGUACUUGGGAAGGUGACCACCUGGGAACACCGCGAGC
Nephila pilipes (giant wood spider) is the source of this 107-nucleotide non-coding RNA. NCBI's taxonomy places the organism in Eukaryota, Metazoa, Arthropoda, Arachnida, Araneae, Nephilidae. The record is from the annotation of a GenBank genome assembly.